AUUGAACGCUGGCGGAAUGCUUUACACAUGCAAGUCGAACGGCAGCACGGGGGCAACCCUGGUGGCGAGUGGCGAACGGGUGAGUAAUACAUCGGAACGUGCCCGGUCGUGGGGGAUAACGUAGCGAAAGUUACGCUAAUACCGCAUACGAUCUGAGGAUGAAAGCGGGGGACCUUCGGGCCUCGCGCGAUCGGAGCGGCCGAUGUCAGAUUAGGUAGUUGGUGGGGUAAAGGCCUACCAAGCCGACGAUCUGUAGCUGGUCUGAGAGGACGACCAGCCACACUGGGACUAAGACACGGCCCAGACUCCUACGGGAGGCAGCAGUGGGGAAUUUUGGACAAUGGGCGCAAGCCUGAUCCAGCCAUUCCGCGUGCAGGACGAAGGCCUUCGGGUUGUAAACUGCUUUUGUAUGGAACGAAAAGGCUCUGGCUAAUACCUGGGGCUCAUGACGGUACCGUAAGAAUAAGCACCGGCUAACUACGUG
RNAcentral lists this ribosomal RNA (484 nucleotides) under uncultured bacterium. RNAcentral's name for it is "partial 16S ribosomal RNA". It matches the Rfam family "Bacterial small subunit ribosomal RNA", at positions 30 to 507 of the family's 1533-position model. The record is from RNAcentral.